Paramisgurnus dabryanus is the source of this 437-nucleotide non-coding RNA. NCBI's taxonomy places the organism in Eukaryota, Metazoa, Chordata, Actinopteri, Cypriniformes, Cobitidae. The record is from RefSeq and is a predicted model, not a curated record.
UUAAAACAAGAGCAGAUCAAAUCAGUCUGAAAAAACCCAAUGUCAAGUUUGUUCGCAAAGCAAACACAGCAUCUGGAAGUUUUCAGGCAAUUUGUCUGGCAACAGGAUUUUACCCUCGACACAUCAACCUGACGCUGUUCAGAGAUGGAGAGCCUGUAUCUGAUAAUAAGAUCAAUGGAGGAGAUCUGCUGCCCAAUGAUGAUGGGACGUACCAGAUGAAGAAGAUCCUGAAGAUCAGUGAAGAAGAAAAGAAAGAGAACUGCAAAUACACCUGCACUGCCACACAUCUCAGUCUGGACAACAAACUGAAUGUUAAGCUGACUGAUAAUUUAGAUAAUGAACAUUAUUUAUUUUACAUCAUUGGAGCUGUUUGUGUUGUUAUGCUAUUGACGUUUGGCAUUAUUUUGGCAAUCUGGCUGAAAUGGAGACAGGAAGGU